AUGGUUGAAACAACGAAACACACAACUUUCCAUUUGGUAUAUCGCCUCAUUGAGUUGACACUCAUUCUUCCUGUAGCAACUUCGUCAGUUGAGCGAAUAUUUUCAGCAAUGAAGAUCAUCAAGACAGAUUUGCGCAACAAACUAUCAAAUGAUUGGCUAAAUGAUUUAAUGGUGUGCUAUUGUGAGAAAGAGAUAUUCAGAAGCAUCACGAUGACAAAAUCAUGA
This 225-nucleotide ribosomal RNA is filed under the name Triticum aestivum (bread wheat). Its description in RNAcentral is "partial small subunit ribosomal RNA". Lineage: Eukaryota; Viridiplantae; Streptophyta; Magnoliopsida; Poales; Poaceae. The record is from RNAcentral.